This 732-nucleotide ribosomal RNA is filed under the name uncultured bacterium. Its description in RNAcentral is "bacterial SSU rRNA". It matches the Rfam family "Bacterial small subunit ribosomal RNA", at positions 28 to 774 of the family's 1533-position model. The record is from RNAcentral.
GACGAACGCUGGCGGCGUGCCUAACACAUGCAAGUCGAACGGAGAUAGAGAGCUUGCUCUCUAUUCUUAGUGGCGGACGGGUGAGUAACGCGUGAGCAACUUGCCUUACAGAGGGGGAUAGCCAUUGGAAACGAUGGAUAAUACCGCAUAACGUAUAGUCAUGGCAUCUUGACAAUACCAAAGGAGCAAUCCGCUGUAAGAUGGGCUCGCGUCCGAUUAGAUAGUUGGCGGGGCAACGGCCCACCAAGUCGACGAUCGGUAGCCGGACUGAGAGGUUGAACGGCCACAUUGGGACUGAGACACGGCCCAGACUCCUACGGGAGGCAGCAGUGAGGGAUAUUGCACAAUGGGCGAAAGCCUGAUGCAGCAACGCCGCGUGAAGGAUGACGGUUUUCGGAUUGUAAACUUCUGUUCUAAGUGAAGAUAAUGACAUUAGCUUAGGAGAAAGCCACGGCUAACUACGUGCCAGCAGCCGCGGUAAUACGUAGGUGGCAAGCGUUGUCCGGAUUUACUGGGUAUAAAGGGAGCGCAGGCGGGAUAGCAAGUCAGCGGUGAAAUGCAAAGGCUUAACCUUUGAACUGCCGUUGAAACUGUUAUUCUUGAGUGAAGUAGAGGCAAGCGGAAUUCCGAGUGUAGCGGUGAAAUGCGUAGAUAUUCGGAGGAACACCAGUGGCGAAGGCGGCUUGCUGGGCUUUUACUGACGCUGAGGCUCGAAAGUGUGGGGAGCAAACA